This 229-nucleotide long non-coding RNA is filed under the name Gossypium barbadense (sea-island cotton). Its description in RNAcentral is "long non-coding RNA (GBAR_LNC008398)". The record is from RNAcentral. Lineage: Eukaryota; Viridiplantae; Streptophyta; Magnoliopsida; Malvales; Malvaceae.
AAAUUGUUUCGAGUUCAUGAAUUAGAUCUUUUACAGUAUCGAUAAAGUUACAGUGACGAGCACCGUGACAAUUUCAGAAGAGAAUCGACAUGAAAUCAUUGAUGAUUAAAGUGAUCAACAGUGUCCAUCAUUCCGUUUGGGAUCUGAAAUAGCUCCAUUUUGUAGAAGAGGACCUUGUUCUCUCGAUCUAACAAAUGUCUGAAGGAGAGACAAAGAUAAUGAACUCCCU